RNAcentral lists this transfer RNA (71 nucleotides) under Monopenchelys acuta (redface moray). RNAcentral describes it as "tRNA-Tyr". It matches the Rfam family "tRNA". Rfam says of the family: Transfer RNA (tRNA) molecules are approximately 80 nucleotides in length. Their secondary structure includes four short double-helical elements and three loops (D, anti-codon, and T loops). The record is from RNAcentral. Lineage: Eukaryota; Metazoa; Chordata; Actinopteri; Anguilliformes; Muraenidae.
GGUAAGAUGGCCGAGUGUUUAGGCGGUGGGCUGUAGAUCCAUCAACAGGGGUUCGACUCCUCUUCUUAUCA